UCAGUGUGGAAUUGUAAAACUCAAUUUCUGGUGAAAAAUAUUUCAUUUUGAUGCCCUCCCUUAAAAGAUAUAAAUUAGGGCUCUGCCCCAUGAUGUACAGUCCCUUUCCACACCGUUGGAGAUCAAGCCAGGCCUUGAGUCUGCGCCUGCAUAUUCCUACGACUUCUCAGAGUCCUCUAGACCUUGACUGAGGUGACAAAACAUGCAGGAAACAAUA
Molecule: small nucleolar RNA, 217 nt
Organism: Suncus etruscus (white-toothed pygmy shrew)
Lineage: Eukaryota; Metazoa; Chordata; Mammalia; Eulipotyphla; Soricidae
Product: small nucleolar RNA SNORA73 family
Exons: 1
Source: RefSeq, a predicted model, not a curated record